This 305-nucleotide ribosomal RNA is filed under the name uncultured bacterium. Its description in RNAcentral is "bacterial SSU rRNA". It matches the Rfam family "Bacterial small subunit ribosomal RNA", at positions 333 to 655 of the family's 1533-position model. The record is from RNAcentral.
UUUUGCCUACGGGGGGCAGCAGUGGGGAAUAUUGCACAAUGGGGGAAACCCUGAUGCAGCAACGCCGCGUGAGUGAAGAAGUAUUCCGGUAUGUAAAGCUCUAUCAGCAGGGAAGAGAAUGACGGUACCUGACUAAGAAGCCCCGGCUAACUACGUGCCAGCAGCCGCGGUAAUACGUAGGGGGCAAGCGUUAUCCGGAUUUACUGGGUGUAAAGGGAGCGUAGACGGCCAGACAAGUCUGAAGUGAAGAUCCAGCGCUUAACGUUGGAAGUGCUUUGGAAACUGCCGGGCUGGAGUGCAGGAGG